CUUUUCAUGUGGAAACUCUGACCUACAGAGUUUUCAAUUAGCGACUUAUACGUACACAGAACUGCAAGAAAGUCAGCUGUUGUUUCUGAGAGCCACAUCAGUUAGCCGCAGCUAAAUCUGGAGUGCACUCCUAUUCGAGUAUUUAUGGGAAAUGCUCCCACACGGAGCUGCCCGUUGCUCUGCUGUUAUCAGCUGCUGUUUUAACAAAAACGCCAUUCAGGGUGAAAAUUCAACCGUGGUGUUGUGUCGGGAGAUGUAGUGACUUCCCCAGCGAAAACACUGGAGGAGGCAUGUGGAGAACAUAACCAUAUUCUUCAGAGGAAAAGAAGAAGGAGAGCAACAAAUAACCCCCAAACAAUAAAAUAAAUUCCUUUUAUAUUUC
Long non-coding RNA from Micropterus dolomieu (smallmouth bass), 382 nucleotides. RefSeq lists it as uncharacterized. The transcript is spliced from 2 exons. NCBI's taxonomy places the organism in Eukaryota, Metazoa, Chordata, Actinopteri, Centrarchiformes, Centrarchidae. The record is from RefSeq and is a predicted model, not a curated record.